This 213-nucleotide long non-coding RNA is filed under the name Nicotiana benthamiana. Its description in RNAcentral is "long non-coding RNA (NBEN_LNC000631)". The record is from RNAcentral. Lineage: Eukaryota; Viridiplantae; Streptophyta; Magnoliopsida; Solanales; Solanaceae.
UCGGCUCAGUGAAGGAAAGGAUUGAAGCCAAUGGUCUGCGUUCGCGAAAAAAAAAAGAGGACAAGAAUCGCAGACCAUAAAGUGCAAUCGUGUGCCCUUAGUUGGGUCCGCAUGCACUAUGUCCAGGCCAGAUCCGCAAUUACAAUCAACGCCCAUUUUUGGCCAUUUCUGUAAUAUGCUUAGUGGCUAUAAAUAACCUAGUUCAAAGUUAUU